Molecule: non-coding RNA, 47 nt
Organism: Operophtera brumata (winter moth)
Lineage: Eukaryota; Metazoa; Arthropoda; Insecta; Lepidoptera; Geometridae
Source: Rfam
CACAAGGCCCUUCUCAGGGCCACUAUAUUGUAACCGUCACUCAGGGU